AUUACGGGAGGCAGCAGUAGGGAAUCUUGCACAAUGGGCGAAAGCCUGAUGCAGCGACGCCGCGUGGGGGAUGAAGGCCUUCGGGUUGUAAACCCCUUUCAGUAGGGGCGAAAAUGACGGUACCUACAGAAGAAGCUCCGGCCAACUACGUGCCAGCAGCCGCGGUAAU
RNAcentral lists this ribosomal RNA (169 nucleotides) under uncultured bacterium. RNAcentral describes it as "partial 16S ribosomal RNA". It matches the Rfam family "Bacterial small subunit ribosomal RNA", at positions 338 to 524 of the family's 1533-position model. The record is from RNAcentral.